This 438-nucleotide ribosomal RNA is filed under the name uncultured bacterium. RNAcentral's name for it is "partial 16S ribosomal RNA". It matches the Rfam family "Bacterial small subunit ribosomal RNA", at positions 339 to 795 of the family's 1533-position model. The record is from RNAcentral.
CUACGGGGGGCUGCAGUGAGGAAUAUUGCACAAUGGGGGGAACCCUGAUGCAGCAACGCCGCGUGGAGGAUGACGCAUUUCGGUGUGUAAACUCCUUUUAUAUGUCAAGAAAAUGACGGUAGCAUAUGAAUAAGCACCGGCUAACUCCGUGCCAGCAGCCGCGGUGAUACGGGGGUGCAAGCGUUACUCGGAAUCACUGGGCGUAAAGGGCGCGUAGGCGGGUUGGAAAGUCAGGUGUGAAAUCCUACAGCUUAACUGUAGAACUACACUUGAAACUUAUAAUCUAGAGUAUGGGAGGGGGAGAUGGAAUUAGUGGUGUAGGGGUAAAAUCCGUAGAUAUCACUAGGAAUACCUAAAGCGAAGGCGAUCUCCUGGAACAUUACUGACGCUAAGGCGUGAAAGCGUGGGGAGCAAACAGGAUUAGAUACCCCGGUAGUC